UGUUUGCUACUUUUUGUAUUCUUUUUGUUUUUAUCUAUUUUUUUUAAAGUUAGAAUUUUUAAAUAAUUGGUGUCAGUCGAUCCCGGCCUGCCUGUACUUCGACAACAACGCCCGGCUUGCCUUGACAUCGACACCAAUGCCAUGCAUGCACCAUCCUAGGCAUUGUUUACAGCUGUUUUUCCCUAACAUGUAAGUACCAAGAAUCAGCUCUCACAUAUGUUGUUUUUCUGUUGAAAGUCUGAGGGAAAAGAUCAGUAUGCAGACCUUGUUACAUUACGCGAAUAUUAACCUCCUUCUUAUAUUACAAUAAUUGAUGAAGGCCGUUGGUUUAAUUACUUCUUCUUAUAAUACACACCCCUUUUGUCUAAAAUCCAUUAUUUUUUAUGAGUGACCGCUGCGCAUAAUACAGAAGGAAUUGAUAGUAAAAUGUAUACACUUCGUUUAUAUAAUAAUUGUGUUAUUAUAUCCAAAACAAAACGACAAACAAGCAUGGAAUUAAAAGAAAAUUAAAAAAGGGGGAGGGCUUAAACAAAUGGUGCAGUUAUGACCGGAUGAAAAGCAUGUUAAUUAUUUGGACUAUCAUCUUUCUGACUUUAAUUAUUAUAUCUUUUAAUUGUUGAUUAUUAGCUCAAAUAUUCCCACAUAAUUAUCUUUUGGUUAAAAAUGUAUAUUUCUACUAAUCCGAUAAUGGACUUCG
Molecule: long non-coding RNA, 697 nt
Filed under: Mytilus galloprovincialis (Mediterranean mussel)
Lineage: Eukaryota; Metazoa; Mollusca; Bivalvia; Mytilida; Mytilidae
Source: RNAcentral